Corvus hawaiiensis (hawaiian crow) is the source of this 1161-nucleotide long non-coding RNA. RefSeq lists it as uncharacterized. The transcript is spliced from 2 exons. The record is from RefSeq and is a predicted model, not a curated record. Lineage: Eukaryota; Metazoa; Chordata; Aves; Passeriformes; Corvidae.
CGUUUUUGGGGCCACCUGAGCUCUCAUGGAGGCUGAAGUAAGUUUUUCAAUUAACAUUAAUAGUGUGUAGCUGGACUCUGCUCUCACUGCAAGAAAUGACUUCUGGGUUGUGAGGACAUUAGUGCAAAGGCUGCUGGCUCCUUAUUGCUUCUGCUUAUGUGCAGUGAAGGGGGUUUGUAUCACCAGAAUGGAGGUCUGGUGAUACAAAUGUACAGGGGGCAUCUGAUAGUUCCAGGGGCAGCCCCAGCCCAGGCACCCUGGGAAAUCCAUUUGCAUUUCUAUGUGGAGUGGGUUUCAAAACACUCUGUUAAUUUUCUUCCAUUAAACACAGUACAAAGCUGUAUGGUUUUGAUGGUGCCAUAAUAAUAAACACUCAAAGACUUGUUUACAAAGAAAUAGUUAUUGUCUGCUAAGUAGUUUUAAUGGAAAGCUCCCUGCUGGGGUUUAGUGCAGGGCUGAGGAUGCGAGGGGCAGGCCCUGAGCAGUGCUCCCUACUCCUCAUGUACCCGUUGCUUAAGUGCAGAGAAGGGUUUUUGAGAGCUCUAGUGCACACAGAUGAGAUGAUUGCACACUUUAGAGCAAAUCUGCCCUCCUUUCUAGUCACACGCCUUUCCUACUAGUGCCAUGUUUAAUACUGGGAUUUCUGUGGGUGGCAUCUUUCGAGCAGGCCAGGUGAGGCUGCACUUCUACCAACAGCGUGUGUGCACAUCAGCUGCCCAAACAGAUGCUGCUGGAAGGAUCUGGCCCUUCUGCCCUGUCCCUUCUGCCCUGUGUGCUGGCACAGUCUGCCUGGCGCAGGGCUGCCUGCUCCCGGUGCCAGCCCUCGUGCCUGCACUGUGCCAUGGCACAUAGUCCCAGGGAACUGCUGGGCUUCGGACUGUUUCAGAAUCCCUUCCUGAGGGUCCAUGUUUUGGCCCAGCAAAGAUGUUGGCAGGCACUGUACAAGUUGCAGGUCACUGUUAAAGUUUUAAAAAAAUAUUACAAUCCAGCUCUGAUGCUUCACGGGAAGAAUGCGAGAGUCCCUGUAAAGCACAGGCAUGAAUGAUUAUUCUAAUUGCCUGGAGAUGCCUUCUGAGAGAUGGAAUAAUUAAGCAGUGAGAUGAUUGAGACCUUCAGCACCUUUGUCUGUGCUCCCCUUCUGGACACCCCCCCCCCCCCCCC